AGCAGCCGCGGUAAUACGGAGGGUGCGAGCGUUAAUCGGAAUUACUGGGCGUAAAGCGCAUGCAGGUGGUUUGUUAAGUCAGAUGUGAAAGCCCGGGGCUCAACCUCGGAAUUGCAUUUGAAACUGGCAGACUAGAGUACUGUAGAGGGGGUAGAAUUUCAGGUGUAGCGGUGAAAUGCGUAGAGAUCUGAAGGAAUACCGGUGGCGAAGGCGGCCCCCUGGACAGAUACUGACACUCAGAUGCGAAAGCGUGGGGAGCAAACAGGAUUAGAUACCCUGGUAG
Molecule: ribosomal RNA, 283 nt
Filed under: uncultured bacterium
Lineage: Bacteria
Description: partial 16S ribosomal RNA
Rfam family: Bacterial small subunit ribosomal RNA
Source: RNAcentral